GACGAACGCUGGCGGCGUGCCUAAUACAUGCAAGUCGAACGCUUCUUUCCUCCCGAGUGCUUGCACUCAAUUGGAAAGAGGAGUGGCGGACGGGUGAGUAACACGUGGGUAACCUACCCAUCAGAGGGGGAUAACACUUGGAAACAGGUGCUAAUACCGCAUAACAGUUUAUGCCGCAUGGCAUAAGAGUGAAAGGCGCUUUCGGGUGUCGCUGAUGGAUGGACCCGCGGUGCAUUAGCUAGUUGGUGAGGUAACGGCUCACCAAGGCCACGAUGCAUAGCCGACCUGAGAGGGUGAUCGGUCACACUGGGACUGAGACACGGCCCAGACUCCUACGGGAGGCAGCAGUAGGGAAUCUUCGGCAAUGGACGAAAGUCUGACCGAGCAACGCCGCGUGAGUGAAGAAGGUUUUCGGAUCGUAAAACUCUGUUGUUAGAGAAGAACAAGGACGUUAGUAACUGAACGUCCCCUGACGGUAUCUAACCAGAAAGCCACGGCUAACUACGUG
RNAcentral lists this ribosomal RNA (508 nucleotides) under uncultured bacterium. RNAcentral describes it as "partial 16S ribosomal RNA". It matches the Rfam family "Bacterial small subunit ribosomal RNA", at positions 28 to 507 of the family's 1533-position model. The record is from RNAcentral.